AGCGAACGCUGGCGGCAGGCUUAACACAUGCAAGUCGAGCGGGCAUCCUUGUGGUGUCAGCGGCAGACGGGUGAGUAACGCGUGGGAACGUGCCCUUCGGUUCGGAAUAACUCAGGGAAACUUGAGCUAAUACCGGAUACGUGCGAGAGCAGAAAGGUUUAUCUGCCGAAGGAUCGGCCCGCGUCUGAUUAGCUAGUUGGUGAGGUUACGGCUCACCAAGGCGACGAUCAGUAGCUGGUCUGAGAGGAUGACCAGCCACACUGGGACUGAGACACGGCCCAGACUCCUACGGGAAGCAGCAGUGGGGAAUAUUGGACAAUGGGGGCAACCCUGAUCCAGCCAUGCCGCGUGAGUGAUGACGGCCUUAGGGUUGUAAAGCUCUUUUCUCCGGGACGAUAAUGACGGUACCGGAGGAAUAAGCCCCGGCUAACUUCGUG
Molecule: ribosomal RNA, 437 nt
Filed under: uncultured bacterium
Lineage: Bacteria
Description: partial 16S ribosomal RNA
Rfam family: Bacterial small subunit ribosomal RNA
Source: RNAcentral